CACAAAGUGAGCUGCUAAACCUUAUUGUGAGCCAAAGUUGCUGCUAGUUUUUGUCCGAGCUGCGGUAUUGUUUAUGAAUCCGUGGCUUGUGGCAGAGCAGACACGAAGGGACGAAAUGCUCAAUUCUGCUCGUAUGGUCUUAUUAUUGCCUAUUUCCGCCGUGACAACGGAAGAGGAAGCCGCUGAAUAGAGGUACAAAGCAAACAUUUAUUGCACGCCCAAGUUAUUCUUGAGAAGAUUUGGUGAGCCUCCUUUGUGGACCAUUACUGUCCUUGUGAUGAAGGUAACUGUACAGUUAAGUGACUUGCUGUUCUUCAAGAUUCAUUUAAUGAUCUUCAGAAGAUACUUUUAAAAGUCAGUCACGCAGGAAGGACACAAGUUUCAAGAUCAGCGCUGUGUGUAGCACACCGCUACAAUUGAUGACACACCUCGUCGGCCGAGUUUGUGUACGGUGCACCCCUGGUCGUCCCAGGAGAGUUCAUACCAGCCCCAAGGGGGCAAGAGGAAGAACCCGCAGCAGUCCUGGCCAGACUACGCGAGAGGCUCAGUAACCUGGCCCCCAUACCCACUUCACAGCACGGGCAGAACCCGACCUGAAUACCCAAAGACCUACAGAACUGUAAGUUUGUGUUUGUAUGAAGGGGCAGACACCGGACACCACUACAACAGCCCUACAAGGGGCAGUUUACGGUGACCAGAAAGAACAGGUCCACAUUCGUGCUGGACAUUGGGGGGAGAGAGGAGGUUUUCACAGUGGACCGACUCAAACCGGCCCAUGUGGACUUGGCGCAGCCGGUCAAGGUUCAGGCACCGCGGUGCCGAGGCAGACCUCCCAAACAGAGACCCACCCAGACUGAGGACAUUGGGGGAUGUAUCGCCGGUUCUGGGGGGGGGGGGGUUAUGUGGCGACCCACUUCCCAGCGCACUUGAACUGGCUCACAAAGUGGCACGCGCCGGCAUUGAGGCCGGUCCCAAAAAGGGCGCCAGGCCUUCUUCACCAGCAAGGGGAAAAGCCCACGCACAGGACAGGACUGUGAAUAUGUGCCCCCUAAAGCAUUCCCGCCAGGGGAGGGUGGGAACAGGAAGGCUUUAAAGUGAGGCUGUGAAGUUUGAAUAAAUCUCUUUUGC
Molecule: long non-coding RNA, 1128 nt
Organism: Hypanus sabinus (Atlantic stingray)
Lineage: Eukaryota; Metazoa; Chordata; Chondrichthyes; Myliobatiformes; Dasyatidae
Exons: 3
Source: RefSeq, a predicted model, not a curated record